AGAAAAUAGAUACCCCGGUAGUCCACACGGUAAACGAUGAAUGCUAGGUGUAGGAGGUAUCGACCCCUUCUGUGCCGCAGUUAAACACAAUAAGCAUUCCGCCUGGGGAGUACGGUCGCAAGAUUAAAACUCAAAGGAAUUGACGGGGGCCCGCACAAGCAGCGGAGCAUGUGGUUUAAUUCGACGCAACGCGAAGAACCUUACCAGGUCUUGACAUCCAGUUAAAGCUGUUGAAAGAUAGUGUCCCUUCGGGGGAACUGAGACAGGUGGUGCAUGGUUGUCGUCAGCUCGUGUCGUGAGAUGUUGGGUUAAGUCCCGCAACGAGCGCAACCCUUAUUGAUAGUUACUAACGCGUAGAGGCGAGGACUCUAUUGAGACUGCCGGGGACAACUCGGAGGAAGGUGGGGACGACGUCAAAUCAUCAUGCCCCCGUUAUGACCUGGGCUACACACGUGCUACAAUGGCCGAUACAGAGAGAAGCGAAAGCGCGAGCCGGAGCGGAGUCUCA
RNAcentral lists this ribosomal RNA (508 nucleotides) under uncultured bacterium. RNAcentral describes it as "bacterial SSU rRNA". It matches the Rfam family "Bacterial small subunit ribosomal RNA", at positions 774 to 1276 of the family's 1533-position model. The record is from RNAcentral.